RNAcentral lists this ribosomal RNA (441 nucleotides) under uncultured bacterium. Its description in RNAcentral is "partial 16S ribosomal RNA". It matches the Rfam family "Bacterial small subunit ribosomal RNA", at positions 339 to 795 of the family's 1533-position model. The record is from RNAcentral.
CUACGGGUCGCUCCAGUGAGGAAUAUUGCACAAUGGGGGGAACCCUGAUGCAGCAACGCCGCGUGGAGGAUGACGCAUUUCGGUGUGUAAACUCCUUUUAUAUGUCAAGAAAAUGACGGUAGCAUAUGAAUAAGCACCGGCUAACUCCGUGCCAGCAGCCGCGGGUGAAUACGGAGGGUGCAAGCGUUACUCGGAAUCACUGGGCGUAAAGGACGCGUAGGCGGGUUGGAAAGUCAGGUGUGAAAUCCUACAGCUUAACUGUAGAACUGCACUUGAAACUUCUAAUCUAGAGUAUGGGAGGGGGAGAUGGAAUUAGUGGUGUAGGGGUAAAAUCCGUAGAUAUCACUAGGAAUACCUAAAGCGAAGGCGAUCUCCUGGAACAUUACUGACGCUAAGGCGUGAAAGCGUGGGGAGCAAACAGGAUUAGAUACCCGCGUAGUC